This 74-nucleotide transfer RNA is filed under the name Patescibacteria group bacterium. RNAcentral describes it as "tRNA-Val". It matches the Rfam family "tRNA". From Rfam's summary of the family: Transfer RNA (tRNA) molecules are approximately 80 nucleotides in length. Their secondary structure includes four short double-helical elements and three loops (D, anti-codon, and T loops). RNAcentral also lists the same sequence under 2 other names. The record is from RNAcentral.
GCACCCUUAGCUCAGUUGGCUAGAGCGCACCCUUCACACGGGUGAGGUCAGAGGUUCGAGCCCUCUAGGGUGCA